AACGAACGCUGGCGGCAGGCCUAACACAUGCAAGUCGAACGCCCCGCAAGGGGAGUGACGCACGGGUGAGUAACGCGUGGGAAUAUGCCCUUCGGUUCGGAAUAACACAGGGAAACUUGUGCUAAUACCGGAUACGAUCUACGGAUGAAAGAUUUAUCGCCGAGGGAGUAGCCCGCGUAGGAUUAGCUAGUUGGUGAGGUAAUGGCUCGCCAAGGCGACGAUCCUUAGCUGGUCUGAGAGGAUGAUCAGCCACACUGGGACUGAGACACGGCCCAGACUCCUACGGGAGGCAGCAGUGGGGAAUAUUGGACAAUGGGCGAAAGCCUGAUCCAGCCAUGCCGCGUGAGUGAUGAAGGCCUUAGGGUUGUAAAGCUCUUUCGCCAGGGAAGAUAAUGACGGUACCUGGAGAAGAAGCCUCGGCUGACUCCGUGCCAGCAGCCGCCGUAA
RNAcentral lists this ribosomal RNA (447 nucleotides) under uncultured bacterium. RNAcentral's name for it is "partial 16S ribosomal RNA". It matches the Rfam family "Bacterial small subunit ribosomal RNA", at positions 29 to 523 of the family's 1533-position model. The record is from RNAcentral.